Molecule: ribosomal RNA, 265 nt
Filed under: uncultured bacterium
Lineage: Bacteria
Description: partial 16S ribosomal RNA
Rfam family: Bacterial small subunit ribosomal RNA
Source: RNAcentral
GUCCACGCCCUAAACGAUGGCAACUAGUUGUUGGAGGAUGAACUCCUUUAGUAACGCAGCUAACGCGUGAAGUUGCCCGCCUGGGGAGUACGGUCGCAAGAUUAAAACUCAAAGGAAUUGACGGGGGCCCGCACAAGCGGUGGAUGAUGUGGUUCAAUUCGAUGCAACGCGAAAAACCUUACCUACCCUUGACAUGCCAGGAAGCCUGAUGAAAGUCGGGUGUGCCCGAAAGGGAACCUGGACACAGGUGCUGCAUGGCUGUCGU